RNAcentral lists this ribosomal RNA (253 nucleotides) under uncultured bacterium. RNAcentral's name for it is "partial 16S ribosomal RNA". It matches the Rfam family "Bacterial small subunit ribosomal RNA", at positions 524 to 776 of the family's 1533-position model. The record is from RNAcentral.
UACGGAGGGUGCAAACGUUGCUCGGAAUCAUUGGGCGUAAAGCGCACGUAAACGGUCCAGCAAGUCGAAUGUGAAAGCCCUCGGCUUAACCGAAGAAGUGCAUUCGAAACUACUGGACUUGAAUACUGAAGAGGAUCGCGGAAUUCCCGGUGUAGAGGUGAAAUUCGUAGAUAUCGGGAGGAACACCAGUGGCGAAGGCGGCGAUCUGGGCAGAUAUUGACGCUGAGGUGCGAAAGCGUGGGGAGCAAACAGG